CGGGAGCCCGGCCUCGUGCGCCGCGCUUUGAGCCUCUAGGCCAUGAAACUGCCUCACCAAGCACUAUGCAAUUGAGUGCCCACCAGAAGACACCCCUCCAGUCAACCCACAGACCCCAGAAAGAGUACCCAGAGGAGCCUGAGCACACUCCACCCUAUCUGUUCUCUGAAAUUCAAUCAAAUGAGUCACUCUACUUCUCUGGAAGCAGAAAGAGGCUGGAAGUUUUUCUCCAG
RNAcentral lists this long non-coding RNA (233 nucleotides) under Homo sapiens (human). RNAcentral's name for it is "non-protein coding lnc-YBEY-6:2". Lineage: Eukaryota; Metazoa; Chordata; Mammalia; Primates; Hominidae. The record is from RNAcentral.